ACACACACCACACACACACACACACCCCCACACAUACACACACACACCCCACACGACCGUCCGCUGGUUACGCGCUGGCCUGGCGCGCCCCGCGUCCACGGCACACGAGCAAUCCCUCUCUGUGCUUUACGAUAACUUUACAAUCCUCUCACUUGGACACGUUUGCUGAGCCAGUUUAUUAUUAUUAUACGUGUGGCCGUCUUUUCAAGCAAUAUCGAUUUUUGAACUCGAUCAAAAAAAUAUUUCAUUAGUUGUAAAACAAACAAAAAACAACGACGACGUCAGGUGAACUUGAUCAAAUCGGCCGCAGCGCUGGAUAUUUUAAAGGUACAAAUAAGUCUGCGAUAAAACGAGAGACCCAGAUACUGCACAUUCUUAAUUAUUUACACUGAAUUGUGUUCAACAUCAAUAGGCGUCGUACAAAAGGUGUAAACAAGCCCAGAUUGUGGAGAAUUUAUCAUUGCCAUGUUGGGCCAUUGGCCAGGUUGCUCAUUCAGUGCUUGUGGCCCCAGGUGGGAAAACAUGUAUUUGCGCUGCACUCUCAAAAUCUGCUCUGGAAUCUUCAAUGGCAACGUGAGAGGAGCUGCCUAACUUGGCGUCCGUCACUCUAGCAGGCGUACGCACUGAGAUAUUGGUCACGAAGCCCACCAUUCCGUGUGAAACUGCAUGGCGGGGAGCCCCUUGGUGCGGAUGGUCCUGUCAUAACGGUGCAAGAGUCGUUGCUCAGCGGCGAGCACCCCGCGUGCAGGCAAAAAAACACAACAGAUGGGGACAUGGAAAAAGAUGUGCUCAUUAUAAUUUUAAUGUUUCACAAUGAGCAAGAAACAUACUGAUGAUGUCAUUUUUUUCAGAGAAAUAAGCUCAAAUACAUUCUACAAUAAACCAGUUUUUUGACAACGACAAGUUUGCGACAAAUUAAAAAAGAAGUGUAUAUCUCUGCACGUUAUGUUAGUGAGUGUAUUAUAGUACAGCUCAUUCUCAUCGACAGUACAGUAACAAAAACUAUUAAGACUACGUUCCGUAAUAGAAAACAUCAACAGCUUUUUUUGGUUUAGUCUGCAUUUUAUAGUUACAGCUAUUGAUUAAAUAAGCAAAAUCAUCAAGGGUAUUGUGUACAAAGGUAACAAAAGUAUGAGGGGACACGGGCUUCAGCUGUCAAGGAAUAUAUGCACUCUGCAUUAACUCGUUUUUCAAUAACAACCAAAUUGUAUUUAUACGUCCUAUGUUUAACGUGGCACAAUCCCACACGCUACAAGUCCUUCGGAACUUUUUGGCUUUAAAAAAAAAAAAUUGUGAAUUAAAGCAUUUUUCGUGCUAAUGUAGUUUUUUUUUUUAGUAAAGUUUAGUGUUGAUACCGUGGACUUAAGAGGUUAGGUCUUGGUACGAUCUGCCCAGCAGUCAAUUCUGACAAAAAAACACACACAGACCUGGAGAACACCAUACAAUCAUGCAACAUUUAAAGUGAUGGCAUUUGAUAUUCACUCUGAAAAACAAUAUCAAUAUUUGCAGUGUUGGUUAUAAACAAAUUAUGAAAACAGCAUCUCAAAAACAUCGGAAAAAAGAGCUAAAAGAUCCAGUGGAAAGCAUUGUCAAAUGUGCAUCUGUUGUGAACCUUCGUUUAAAUGCUACAGUUUCAGCUUUGAUGUUUACGAAACAGAAUUCCUCGACUGAAUAAUAAAACACAGGGAGACAGACACGACAGCGAAACAAUGAACACCAAAGAAAGAAAAUUCCAUCGCACACUUCUUUAGUCGAACAGUAAUGGGGGGAGGGGGUAAUUUAUCUUCAAAGCCAUGUUUAGCUGUGCAAAAAAGAUGAAAUUAAUGUCAUGCUUUUGUACAUAGUACGGAAAGCUAAGUGUUUUAUUUCCACUGACUGCAAAAGAAAUAUAUACAGCACGGGUGUAAAAAAAUGCUAAAAGUAAAAAUCAAAGUCAAUUUUUUUUUGUCUUUCUCGUACGUUAUUUUUUAAAGAACAUGUUGGGUAGACAGAUGAUGAUAAAACACCGGUUUGGAAUGAAUGUGGAUAACAUCCUUUUGCUAGCAUACUUCAAAGAUAUUCACAGUCACGGGCAUGAGCGUGCGCCAUACAAAGAGAAGCCACCACCACCACCAGCAUCACCACCACAGAGCGCGCGGCGGUCUCCGUGAUCGGCGCCUCUCGCGCCCCCGCUGCGUGCAGCCACUUGAGGUGUGUACACAAAACAACAACAACAACAACGACGGACCCGGAACCACAAGCAAAAUAGCAGCACAAGGAUGGGGAGCUGUUAAGUCGACUGAAAAAUGAGACUGCUGUUCCGUCUAUUAACUGGCAGUGUUAAAUUAAAGUUUGCUGCGGAAAGUUUUUCCGUCUGUAAAUUUUUUUUUUUUACAUUUUCACUUUGCUUCACCUGUACUUAAUGCAUGAUAUCACCGUAUUUAAAAUUGUUACGUUUUAACAUUUCAGAGCACCAUCUUUGUUUGCGAGGGCAAACAAAGAUGGCGGCGUCACCACCCCUCUCGACAACAUUUUGUUUGUUCGUAUUUUUGUCCUUUUCCAAAAAAAGAGCCGACUUCAAGUACACCAACACCUAUUUCGUUUAUGCACCAAGUUACGUCUUUGGAUCAUUAAAAGGGGAACAAAACUACGAUGGGAAAGAGGAAAUAGGUGCGGCGCUAAAGCUCGCCCCUGCCCCCUCCCCCCAAAAAAAAACAAAACGACAGUGCUAGUUUUAAACGUAAAAGAUUAAUAUUUUAAAUAAAGAAUAUAACGAGCUAUCAUCGUCAUGAUCAUCAUCACCAUCAUCACCAAUAGUAGAGCUGAAGAAGUGCUGCGGUAAAAGGUAUGCAAAAUAAAUGGAAUAAAGAAAUUAAAACAGCCACUUAGGAAACAUCACAUCCCCUAAACGUCACAUGUCCGAUCACACGACGUCCACCACCCGAGCGGCUACAAAAACUACGGUACCGUGUUAGCUGUAUCAUCAAUAUCGGGCGUUCAGAUAGAGAGAGAGAGGUGAAGGAGGAACGGGGAAAUUAACAUUGGCACAAAUUUACACAAUUCGAUUUCUUUGCCUCCAUCUCGCACAUUAAAAAAGGAAAACAAAAUGUCCACGACACGAAGACAUAGCAGUUGUGAAACAUUAUAAAUGUGUACACAGGUAUCACUGUACUUGUGUAAUAACUCCAUAGUAACAAACUAUCCAACAUCAAAACAGUACUCAUUUUAUUAUAAAUACAGGAGAGCUACUUUUUUUUACUUUUUUUAAAUUCUCAUCUUAAUGUUGUUAAGCUCUACCGUAACAGAAGACCUACAAGAGAGUAAAGAUCUAUUUUAUUUUUAAGAACCCCAUUAAGAAGAGUUGCUUUUGCUUGUUAUGGACAAGUCAACUCAUGAGAAGAGAAAUCAAAAGCUUUUUAAACUUGAACUAAGUGUGAGCUACUGACCUGAGAUAUACAGACACAGAUUCAUAGCUAGCCAUUGGUAUAGUUCAUGAUUAGUUAGGCAAAGAAUGUUGCUGGAUCAUUAUCCCCAUAUAACACAUGCUAGCGGGAUGCGCUCGUCAGUUGUGCCGUUCGCCCCACCGCGCGCCCACCGCCCAUGCCCCCACGCCCCCCCCGUGACCUCUCCGAGUAUUUGGCUUUUUGAACCCCCUUCGAAGCGCCGUCACAAUGCACCUCAGCAGAAAUGUUCCAAACUUUUUUUUAAAGUUUUGUUUUUCUUUUCUUUUGCCGUUUUAAAAGUAGAGCACAAAAUAAAAACAAAGUGUCAAAUAAAAACGUAACAGCAACUGUGCCUUUUUUGACCAUUUAUAAACACACACAAUUAGAAACUAUUCCUCAAGCCAGCAUAUCAAUAUGGGAAGAACAAUCCGAAGUCAAAUUAUUUUUGGUUUUGAUUAGGAGCUUUGGAAUAGUAGUUAGUAGUAAUUGGUUUUUGACUGUUGAUAAAACCCUUCCCAUUCAUUAUUAUUAUUUUAUUAUUAUUGAGGAUCCAGAGGAUCUCAUUAAUAUUAUUAUUACUGUCGAUAAUAAUAAUAUCGUCAUUAUUAUCGCCAUCACCGCUACCACCACCACCAUCGUCGUCAUCAUCAUCAUUUAUCUUCAUCAUAUAAAUAACACACACAAUAAAACCCUCCCUUCCCCAUGGCUAGGCUACACGCGAAGGAAGUCCGUGGCAAGCUGCGCACUACCCGUGCUCCCGCUGUCCAGGGGGGCCACCGCCCGGGGGGCCCUGCUCCCCGCGGGCCGCUCGGAGUCCUCCGAUGCACGGCUCAGCUCGCUCUCAGACUCGUCCGAGCAGCUGUCCCAAGGAGGGGGCGAAGUCUGGACCCCUGAGGCUCUGCGGGAUGACGCUGAGGUAACCGUCGACGCGCCGAGGGGGAGGGCGGCGGCGGCGCCGCCAUUUCCGCGGGGCGCGGGCUCGUUCUGCAGCGCGGAGGAGGACGAGGAGGAGGAGAGCGAUCGGUUUCCAUCGGCUGGCUCCUUCUGCUCCAUGGAGGACGAUGAAGAACUUGCGGUGGCGCUGCUGCCGCCGGCGCCGAUGCUGCCUCCGCCGCCGCCACCGCCGCCACCACUACUGCUCUUGCUUGCGCCGCUGCUGCCGGUGGUGGCAGCGUUUGCCGCACCCCCGGCAGUCACGUCAGGCGCGGCCGACUUGCUGGAACUCGCAGUCGUCGCGCUGCCACUGCUGCCCGAUCCGCUGCCACUCGCCGCCUCCAACUUGGCCGCCCUCGCCCGGGUCUGGUGCAGGACCGACCUCAUGUGGAUCUCCAGCGUUGAGCUCUGACUGUAGGCCACGUUGCAGGUCAUGCACUUGUAGGGCUUGUUGUCAAUCCCGUUGGCCGGUUCUGACCGCUCGCCUCCGGAGCCGGGGCUCGACGAUUCCUGCAGGGCCUUCUUCAGGCGGUGCAGGUGCGAGACGGAGUUGUAGUGCACCAAGAGAAUGUUCUUCUGGGUGAAGGACUCUUUGCAGACGGUGCACUUGUACGGCCGCGAGGGGUCCAGAAACUUCUCCAUGGCAAAGCUGGUGCACUUGCGGGGAAUCACAGCUCGCUUGGCCUCCAUCGUGGGGUCCUCCUGGCCGAAGAUCCCUCCGUCGCUUCCCGUGGGGCUCUGCUUCCCGUCGGGGUCGCUGUCCUCAUCUUUGUCCGCCUCUGCCGGGAGGGAGAGCUCCUCCUCCGUCUCGGGUAGCGACUUGAAGUCGCCAUUGGCGAUCUGCAGGCUUCCACAGAGCUGCUGCACCUGGAUGUCGGCCAGCUCCGGGUGGCUGCUCUCCAGGUGCUUGCGCAACGCGGGGAUGGAGCGGAAGCUGCGUUGGCAGAGGGCGCAUGCGGUGGCGGCGCGGAUGACGUGGUACUGCAGGUGCGCCUGCAGCCGCUCGGGUGUCUUGAAGGCAAGGCUGCACUGCGGGCACCGGUGCUUGUACACGUGCCGGUCGGACACGGGCAACUGCACCCGCUUCGUCACGGAGUCUCCCGCCAAGGAACCUUGCGUCGCGCCCGCGACCCUCGCAUUGCUUUGCUGCUCUUCCUUUUUGUCGUCUUUGUUCGUGGUCUGCUCGCCGGACCGCUCCGUGGCAUUUUCUGACAAUUCGCGCGAGGUGCCAGCCCUCUCGUAGUCUUCCUUAUUGCCUGCGGACAGCAGUAGCAGCAUCAGCAAAAAAAAAGUUGCACCAGAAAUGAAAACUACUGUCUAGUAUGAGAUCAAGACGAGCUAAAAAACAUUGCACAUUUUCAUAACCAGACUGACCUUACGAUGCUGGAAACUACAUUUAUGGCUUCAUUUUGUAUGCACACACCAAGGUCGUCUCUGUUCAUCCCAUUAAUUUUUCACUACACGAGUCACCUUUUCCAUUAGUGACAGUGACUGCAUAAAAUGACCUCGCAUUAAAAAUUAAUGCAGGUGGACGUGGGAGUAAUUGCAUUUUAAACUGAGCGAUGGAUAAUGCAGUAGGCAAGUUUGUUUUCAGCGGCUGGUUCCCAAAACAUUUUGGUUCCUGUUGCACCCAAUUUUCGUUGCUUAAUUAGAAUGCACAGUAUUACAAUGUACUCCCGUCUUUUUACCUCUGUAUGUCAAAUUAAACAUAAAAUGUAAUUGGAAUAUAUUUUAGACGAAUUAAUAAUUGUUCAAAAGAAUGCAACGUUACGCUGAAUUAAAUCAAAUUAAUGUUAUUUCCAGACAGGAGUACAAUUCUAGAGUAAGGUAGAUUCAAGUUAUUGCUUCCAAUUGUCAUUAUUUUAUUGCAAUCUCAGAGCUGCGGUCUUAUGAAAAUUAAAACCUCGGAGCUACAUCCGAAUUUUAGCCUCAAGUUAAUUCAAAAUUUUGAGGCAUUAUUUAAAAUGCCAAUGGCUUUUGUGAGGCUGAACAAAUUUUCUAAGUGCGGGGGCCUCUCUCAGAAAAGGGGGGGGGACACCUUACCCAAGGAUUUUGUCGAGUCCUCGGCAACGACUCUCAAGGUGCUGUUGUGUUGGUGGCCAUCGCCCUCCGACGCCCCGGCAGGCAGGAACGCAGAACUCGGUACCAUCAUCUCCGGUGACGACAUCUAAAGGCGCCGAGCGGCAGAAAGCGGCAUCGUUAGCGGCGGCCGCAGUGAGCCGCUAACCACCGCCGCCACCGCCGCCGGGUAGUGAACACCACGUGGUUCCCUCCAUUCACCAAAACUUGCAAACCGACUCCCCCCACUCCGCGCCCCCCCCCCCUCCUCACGCUAUUCUACAUCUCCGCGCAAUUUCGACGACUUAGCGGACGGCGACGGCACAAACCGUCACAGAAAUAACACAAACGCCAUCGUGCACUAAUGGCACAAGUGGCUGUGAGGUGGUGGUGGUGGUGGUGGGGAGGAGAGAAAAAACCUCCACCGGCGUGGCAUAGCGCGGUUUCACGUCACCGUGUUUGGCUCGCCUUCCCUCGUCUCUCCCCGCCCGCCUCUGCCAGGGCCAUGCUGUUUGGCUACGCGCGCUCAAUUAGCCACCUCGCCAAGAAGCAGUGCUCAAUGGGGGAAAAAGCAGAAUAAUGGAGGGCUCUUAAUUAAAGGCACACAUUAAACAUGGAGCCCCUGACACAGCCUCCAGUUCCUGAGCCACAUUCUGGAUCCUUUAAAUGAGACGAUAAAAAUUGCUGCUCUUGUCAAAAAAAGAAGGCUAAUUGUGCUUUAAGGUUAUGUGAGAAACUGUGCAAAAGGUGAGCUGCAUCGUUUUGACUGUAGCCAGCACGGGGUACUUGUGUUACAAAGCUGUUUAUUGGAAAUUUGACAUCCAUCGCCAUGCUUGGACUACAAAUGGGUUAUGUUGUUGUUGUAACAUUAGCUGAUUCAAUUUGGGUUUUAUGCACUGUCGCUUGUGAAUAAAUGCAACCAUCAUCCAUUCUCUAUCCACACUGCUCAGCCUCCACGUCUGCGCACUUUUCCGUCGUCCCGUAAGUCUUCUUGUCAAUUACUUGUUACGCCUUUUGCAGUUUUCACAGCCCAUGGCUCAGAUUUUGUUUGUCCGAAGUUAUUAUUUUUCUCUCGCAGUUUCUGUCUCUGUGCAAUGCUGAGUGUUUGAUAUUCACCCCUUGUGACACCUAAGUUGACAGUGACCGUAUUUCUGGCUCAACGUGCGAUGCUGCCCGAGAGUACAGAUUUAUUUGUCGGUGUUUCCACUUCAACACUUAAUGCAGCAUGCAAGGGUUGUUUAUGUAUUUAUUUAAAAGGUGCCCCGGGUUGGUUCUGUUUAGGGUUGAAUGUGAUUUUAUCUUCAAAACGCAAACGAAAUUGGUUGAAUCAAGCGAGUUGUGCAUGCAGACCACACAUCCUGAUAUUCGUUGCAAGUACUGAAAAUGCUAUGGCAGAAGAAUAAUCGUGGGUGCUUCAUUUUCUCUACUGUUUAAUAUCGCUGGCAUUUAAGCAUUAAUGCGCUCGAUAGUGAGAGAUCUACAGGGUGUCCAAUAAGUCAGGAAUCGUAGGGAAAAAUAACUCAUUCAUAUUUCCCUGGUCAUUGGAUAGGACGUCGAGGGCCUGUGGAAUGGCCAGCGGGAAGCCACAAUCUCACACCACUGGAUUUUUAUCUCUCGGGUCACUUGAAGGCGCUGGCCAACACGGAGAAAAUUCCGAAUGAACAUUUGCAGCAGCGCAUUAUUGACGCAUGUAACACCAUUUUACCCCUAAUACCAUUUACUGUGUGCUUGCUGACUGGGUAUCUCGUCUGGAGUUGUGUAUCAGGAAUAAAUGUGGACACAUUGCGCACGUUCUGUGAAUAAAAGCGCUAUUAUUGCCUUUUUUGUAUUAUUUUUCCUAUGAUUCCAGACUUAUGGGACACCCUACUGAGAAUCGGGCUAUAGUCUGAGAAUCGGGCUAUAUUCUCACUUCUACCAAACAUCAAUGGUGUGCACCCCACAGGGGAGCCCUGCACCUCCCAGUUCGAAACCCAGUCGGCACAAUAUUAUAAUGAUUCUAGAACAGAAUAUAUCUCAUAUAGUUAGCAAAUAAUAAAUGCAUGUGUGGGUAGGGGGAUGGGUAUUUUACUUAAAAUAUUAAUAUUUUUUCCGAGCAAAUAUCAAACCAGGAACAUUGAUUUUCAUUCUAUGGCACUAAAACUGCGUGAAACAUGGGAAGCUGGAAUGGGUUUUUCAUGUAAAUUCUAUACGAUUGUGCCAUUGACUGCAGUUUAUAAUCAUUGUAUUAUCUGAUUUUGUAUUACUUAACUAAUAAACGAUUGUAUAAUAAGUUA
Non-coding RNA from Petromyzon marinus (sea lamprey), 8686 nucleotides. NCBI's taxonomy places the organism in Eukaryota, Metazoa, Chordata, Hyperoartia, Petromyzontiformes, Petromyzontidae. The record is from RefSeq and is a predicted model, not a curated record.